This 614-nucleotide ribosomal RNA is filed under the name Coniochaeta sp. TMS-2011. RNAcentral describes it as "eukaryotic LSU rRNA". The stretch from base 244 to 397 matches the Rfam family "5.8S ribosomal RNA". Lineage: Eukaryota; Fungi; Ascomycota; Sordariomycetes; Coniochaetales; Coniochaetaceae. The record is from RNAcentral.
UCUUGGUCAUUUAGAGGAAGUAAAAGUCGUAACAAGGUCUCCGUUGGUGAACCAGCGGAGGGAUCAUUACCAGAGCUCUCUCGCGAGACUCCCAAACCAUUGUGAACCUUACCCCCGUACGCGUUGCUUCGGCGGGCGUCCCCUUCUACCGGAGGGGACGCGGCCCCUCGGGGUGCCCGCCGGCGGCCGACCAAACUCUUGAUAUCCCAGUGGACUCUCUGAGAAAACAAACCAAUAAGUUAAAACUUGCAACAACGGAUCUCUUGGUUCUGGCAUCGAUGAAGAACGCAGCGAAAUGCGAAAAGUAAUGUGAAUUGCAGAAUUCAGUGAAUCAUCGAAUCUUUGAACGCACAUUGCGCCCGCCAGUAUUCUGGCGGGCAUGCCUGUCCGAGCGUCAUUUCAACCCUCAAGCCCCGCUUGGUGUUGGGGUCCUACGGCUGCCGUAGGCCCUGAAAGCUAGUGGCGGGCUCGCUACCACUCCGAGCGCAGUAACGCAUCUCGCUAGGGACGUGUGUGGCGGGUUCCGGCCGUGAAACCCCCCCCAUUUUCACAAGGUUGACCUCGGAUCAGGUAGGAAUACCCGCUGAACUUAAGCAUAUCAAUAAGCCGGAGGA